CUGGCCUACAUGUGACUCCAGAACAACAGUAUGAUUGACUGCCUCCAGAACAGGAAAGUUUUUGAUCUAUAAUUUAUACCUCAGUGGCCAGGAGUGGGACACAGCAUCAAACUUCUGUCUGAGUAAGGUUCAUUAGAAUGUGCAGGGAUUAUUGUCACCGUGGCAAUGGUGCAGUUAAGGUGUGGAGAAAUUGAGGAACAAAUGUGCCAGCAAGACCAGGACCAGCAACAACUGCUAACAGUUGUCGAACAGCCUCCACAUGAAGAUGUCACAGCUGAAGGUACCCUUAGUGUGCAGAAGAAUGACAGGAGACUAUCAUCUUCUUUGCCAUUUCCUCCAGAUGAGUGAGGUGCUUUGCUGCUGCAGAAUGAGGAUGUCCAGGGAUACCAUCACAGAACUAUCUUCUGCUGAUGUAGGACUCAUGAACUGAAGGGGUAGGUGGCCAUUCUGUCGUGGUGGUUGUCAAGUUGAUAGCUAAUUUUUUUAUGCAACUACCUGUUUCCAAGGAUCUAGUGGGCUCCUGUGUGGGACUUAUCAAUCCGCAACCCACAAAUUUAUCAAAGCUGUUACCAAUGUAAUUUGUGCUAGGUCACACCACUUCAUCUUGUUUCAAUGUUGCAGAAAGGCAGGAGGCUUUAUAAUGUAGCUGGACUGUCCCGGAUGCAGGGUGCUAUUGGCGGUACAUAUGUCACAAUGAGAAUGCUAUUUCAGAAUGCAGUUGAGAUUAAUAGAAAGGCUACGAUUUAGUAAAUAUAAAAGUCAUAUGUGAUCAUGGUAACACAUCCUCGAAGUCUGAGCCAAAUACCGUGGAAACUGCCACAAUACCUACAUCCUAUAGGCUGGAUGCUUACAAAGAUAGCUGUUGGGAGACAAUGAUGGGGGAGCGUGUUGCCGUGCAGUACAUUCCAGCGUCUUUGUCACAUAAUCCUUGAAUGCUGUCCGUGCAAACUGGAGCAGGCAAAGAGGUGCUGUGAUGGACACUGACGAGCUGGGAGAGCAGCACCAGUCUUCCAAGAAGGCGGAUGAGGACAUUGAGCAGGAGGAACAUCACCUUCAGCAUGAUACAGGAGCGCAGUGCCGGGCACAUCAAGCCAGACGAGAUUUAUUGACAUUUACCUCCAAUAGAUAAGGAAAGCGGCCACCAUGAAUGCAGAUGAGUCAAGACAAGUGGUGGGCUAGCCAGCAUUCACCUCCUCACAUCUUCUGUGGACAGCAUCCUGACUCUGACCACCACAAGUGGCUGACUGACUGUUUCCAAACCCCUGAAGUGGUAUCGGAGGUUGCCCAUGAUUUCCUGUGCCAAAACCUCCUGAAAGAAAGCAAUCCUGUUGACUUGAUUGAGGUCUGCUGACAACCAUCACAAGCUUUCUUCCUUUUUUUCGGAGCUAAACAGCAAGGCAAAACAAAAGCAAU
Long non-coding RNA from Rhincodon typus (whale shark), 1413 nucleotides. RefSeq lists it as uncharacterized. The transcript is spliced from 3 exons. The record is from RefSeq and is a predicted model, not a curated record. NCBI's taxonomy places the organism in Eukaryota, Metazoa, Chordata, Chondrichthyes, Orectolobiformes, Rhincodontidae.